GAUGAACGCUGGCGGCGUGCCUAAUACAUGCAAGUCGAGCGAACAGACGAGGAGCUUGCUCCUCUGACGUUAGCGGCGGACGGGUGAGUAACACGUGGAUAACCUACCUAUAAGACUGGGAUAACUUCGGGAAACCGGAGCUAAUACCGGAUAAUAUAUUGAACCGCAUGGUUCAAUAGUGAAAGACGGUUUUGCUGUCACUUAUAGAUGGAUCCGCGCCGCAUUAGCUAGUUGGUAAGGUAACGGCUUACCAAGGCGACGAUGCGUAGCCGACCUGAGAGGGUGAUCGGCCACACUGGAACUGAGACACGGUCCAGACUCCUACGGGAGGCAGCAGUAGGGAAUCUUCCGCAAUGGGCGAAAGCCUGACGGAGCAACGCCGCGUGAGUGAUGAAGGUCUUCGGAUCGUAAAACUCUGUUAUUAGGAAAGAACAAAUGUGUAAGUAACUAUGCACGUCUUGACGGUACCUAAUCAGAAAGCAACGGCUAACUACGUG
Molecule: ribosomal RNA, 497 nt
Filed under: uncultured bacterium
Lineage: Bacteria
Description: partial 16S ribosomal RNA
Rfam family: Bacterial small subunit ribosomal RNA
Source: RNAcentral